This is a small nuclear RNA of Hippopotamus amphibius kiboko, 192 nucleotides long. RefSeq annotates it as U2 spliceosomal RNA. The transcript has a single exon. The record is from RefSeq and is a predicted model, not a curated record. NCBI's taxonomy places the organism in Eukaryota, Metazoa, Chordata, Mammalia, Artiodactyla, Hippopotamidae.
GUCGCUUCUUGGGCUUUUGGCUAAGAUCAAGUGUAGUAUCUGUUCUUAGCAGUUUAAUAUCUGAUACGUCCUCUAUCUGCGAACAACAAUAUUACAUGGAUUUUGAGAACCAGGAGAUGGAAUAGGAGCUUGCUCUGUCCACUGCACACAUCGACCUGGUAUUGCAGUACAUCCAGAAACGGUGCACCAAAA